This 465-nucleotide ribosomal RNA is filed under the name Vreelandella stevensii. Its description in RNAcentral is "partial 16S ribosomal RNA". It matches the Rfam family "Bacterial small subunit ribosomal RNA", at positions 338 to 795 of the family's 1533-position model. Lineage: Bacteria; Pseudomonadati; Pseudomonadota; Gammaproteobacteria; Oceanospirillales; Halomonadaceae. The record is from RNAcentral.
CCUACGGGUGGCUGCAGUGGGGAAUAUUGGACAAUGGGCGAAAGUCUGAUCCAGCCAUGCCGCGUGUGUGAAGAAGGCCUUCGGGUUGUAAAGCACUUUCAGUGGGGAAGAAAGCCUUGGGGCUAAUACCCUCGAGGAAGGACAUCACCCACAGAAGAAGCACCGGCUAACUCCGUGCCAGCAGCCGCGGUAAUACGGAGGGUGCGAGCGUUAAUCGGAAUUACUGGGCGUAAAGCGCGCGUAGGCGGUCUGAUAAGCCGGUUGUGAAAGCCCCGGGCUCAACCUGGGAACGGCAUCCGGAACUGUCAGGCUAGAGUGCAGGAGAGGAAGGUAGAAUUCCCGGUGUAGCGGUGAAAUGCGUAGAGAUCGGGAGGAAUACCAGUGGCGAAGGCGGCCUUCUGGACUGACACUGACGCUGAGGUGCGAAAGCGUGGGUAGCAAACAGGAUUAGAUACCCGGGUAGUC